RNAcentral lists this ribosomal RNA (175 nucleotides) under uncultured bacterium. RNAcentral describes it as "partial 16S ribosomal RNA". It matches the Rfam family "Bacterial small subunit ribosomal RNA", at positions 1326 to 1500 of the family's 1533-position model. The record is from RNAcentral.
UCGGAAUUGCUAGUAAUCGUAGGUCAGCAUACUACGGUGAAUACGUUCCCGGGCCUUGUACACACCGCCCGUCAAACCAUGAGAGUUGGCAACACCCGAAGUCGGUAGUCUAACCGCAAGGAGGACGCCGCCGAAGGUGGGGUUNAUGAUUAGGGUUAAGUCGUAACAAGGUACC